CUGUGACAUACCACUUGUUGCCUCGGCGGAUCAGCCCGCUCCCGGUAAAACGGGACGGCCCGCCAGAGGACCCCUAAACUCUGUUUCUAUAUGUAACUUCUGAGUAAAACCAUAAAUAAAUCAAAACUUUCAACAACGGAUCUCUUGGUUCUGGCAUCGAUGAAGAACGCAGCAAAAUGCGAUAAGUAAUGUGAAUUGCAGAAUUCAGUGAAUCAUCGAAUCUUUGAACGCACAUUGCGCCCGCCAGUAUUCUGGCGGGCAUGCCUGUUCGAGCGUCAUUUCAACCCUCAAGCACAGCUUGGUGUUGGGACUCGCGUUAAUUCGCGUUCCCCAAAUUGAUUGGCGGUCACGUCGAGCUUCCAUAGCGUAGUAGUAAAACCCUCGUUACUGGUAAUCGUCGCGGCCACGCCGUUAAACCCCAACUUCUGAAUGUUGACCUCGGAUCAGGUAGGAAUACCCGCUGAACUUAAGCAUAUCA
This 478-nucleotide ribosomal RNA is filed under the name Fusarium oxysporum. Its description in RNAcentral is "eukaryotic LSU rRNA". The stretch from base 125 to 278 matches the Rfam family "5.8S ribosomal RNA". The record is from RNAcentral. Lineage: Eukaryota; Fungi; Ascomycota; Sordariomycetes; Hypocreales; Nectriaceae.